GUCAAGAUGGCCGAGUGGUUAAGGCGCCAGACUUAAGACACUAAUUCAAAUAAUAGAUUAAUAGGUAAUCUUGCUAAAUCCGUUACUUGGCAUUCUGGUCUUCGAAGAAGGCAUGGGUUCGUACCCCACUGUUGACA
Non-coding RNA from Daphnia pulex (common water flea), 137 nucleotides. The record is from Rfam. Lineage: Eukaryota; Metazoa; Arthropoda; Branchiopoda; Diplostraca; Daphniidae.